RNAcentral lists this ribosomal RNA (422 nucleotides) under uncultured Brumimicrobium sp. RNAcentral's name for it is "bacterial SSU rRNA". It matches the Rfam family "Bacterial small subunit ribosomal RNA", at positions 355 to 774 of the family's 1533-position model. Lineage: Bacteria; Pseudomonadati; Bacteroidota; Flavobacteriia; Flavobacteriales; Crocinitomicaceae. The record is from RNAcentral.
UGAGGAAUAUUGGACAAUGGAGGCAACUCUGAUCCAGCCAUGCCGCGUGCAGGAAGAAUGCCCUAUGGGUUGUAAACUGCUUUUAUUUAGGAAGAAACCCCCCAACGUGUUGGGGGCUGACGGUACUAAACGAAUAAGGACCGGCUAACUCCGUGCCAGCAGCCGCGGUAAUACGGAGGGUCCAAGCGUUAUCCGGAAUCAUUGGGUUUAAAGGGUCCGCAGGCGGGCUAUUAAGUCAGUGGUGAAAUCUCUUAGCUUAACUAAGAAAUUGCCAUUGAAACUACUAGUCUUGAAUUCGGUCGAAGUGGGCGGAAUGUGUCAUGUAGCGGUGAAAUGCAUAGAUAUGACACAGAACACCGAUAGCGAAGGCAGCUCACUAGGCCUGAAUUGACGCUCAGGGACGAAAGCGUGGGGAGCGAACA